Molecule: ribosomal RNA, 221 nt
Filed under: uncultured bacterium
Lineage: Bacteria
Description: partial 16S ribosomal RNA
Rfam family: Bacterial small subunit ribosomal RNA
Source: RNAcentral
GAUCCUGGCUCAGGACGAACGCUGGCGGCGUGCCUAAUACAUGCAAGUAGAACGCUGAAGGAGGAGCUUGCUUCUCUGGAUGAGUUGCGAACUGGUGAGUAACGCGUAGGUAACCUGCCUGGUAGCGGGGGAUAACUAUUGGAAACUAUAGCUAAUACCGCAUAAGAGUAGAUGUUGCAUGACAUUUACUUAAAAGGUGCAAUUGCAUCACUACCAGAUGG